Rhagoletis zephyria (snowberry fruit fly) is the source of this 411-nucleotide long non-coding RNA. RefSeq lists it as uncharacterized. Lineage: Eukaryota; Metazoa; Arthropoda; Insecta; Diptera; Tephritidae. The record is from RefSeq and is a predicted model, not a curated record.
UUGGAAAAUUAUGCCGAUAAACAGGAUGGAAUUUGGGAAAAAAUGUUAUAAAUCGAGUGGCUCAUUUACGAUGUGCUCCAAACAUUUGGCGAACUUUUUUUUCGCCUUUUCAAUGUGCUAAGUAAGAAACCGCAAGCAAAGGGCAGACAACCUUCCAGGAAGCUGCCUCCUGUCCCCGAGCCGAAGCUGCAGGUCAGCAAGAGCAGGUCAGCAAAUUGCUACCCUGAUCAAACGUAAACUAAAGCGCUCUGCUGUGAUUGCACUCCGUAAAUGUGAAAACUUGGUGCAUGCUGAGAAAUAUCAAACAAGAAAACUCCGUGAUGGACGCCGUGAGAUGGAGUAACGCUGUGUGGCAAAGAAAUGCGGCCAAUUCGACGGGCCUGAAAAAUCCAAAUUGGCUUUUGUGAUCCG